Molecule: long non-coding RNA, 449 nt
Organism: Nematolebias whitei (Rio pearlfish)
Lineage: Eukaryota; Metazoa; Chordata; Actinopteri; Cyprinodontiformes; Rivulidae
Exons: 3
Source: RefSeq, a predicted model, not a curated record
CACAGAGAGAAACGGAACAUUUGUCUGAACUCCUCUGCCCUCACAGGAACGCUGGUUCUUUUUCCAGAGAUUAACAUUGUUUCAGUCUCAGGGGAAUUUUUCAUCUGCCUCACCGGCUGAUAAAGAACUAUUUCAGACUUGUACAAGAGCAGCAAAACAAGAGAAUCAUUAAAAGUCUGAAAUGUGUGACCAUCAAGAAAAAGGAUACAAACACGACAAGACCUCCAACUCCAAAUCUCAACAAGGGAUGCAGCCUCGCCAUAAUCAAGGACAUCGUCAUCAUCAUUACCAUCACCAGGAAGAUGGCAAUAAGGAUAAUAACAUCCAUUCAGCUGAGGACAUCAGGGAUCGUCAACCAAAUAUUCAGAAUCAGCGAGCUCACGACAAGACUCAUCACCCUCCUCAUUACCGCCAUAAGCCAAAUUAUUGUCAUGUUUCAAGAAGUACCA